RNAcentral lists this ribosomal RNA (495 nucleotides) under uncultured bacterium. RNAcentral's name for it is "bacterial SSU rRNA". It matches the Rfam family "Bacterial small subunit ribosomal RNA", at positions 215 to 702 of the family's 1533-position model. The record is from RNAcentral.
UCACUACCAGAUGGACCUGCGUUGUAUUAGCUAGUUGGUGGGGUAAGGGCUCACCAAGGCGACGAUACAUAGCCGACCUGAGAGGGUGAUCGGCCACACUGGGACUGAGACACGGCCCAGACUCCUACGGGAGGCAGCAGUAGGGAAUCUUCGGCAAUGGACGGAAGUCUGACCGAGCAACGCCGCGUGAGUGAAGAAGGUUUUCGGAUCGUAAAGCUCUGUUGUAAGAGAAGAACGAGUGUGAGAGUGGAAAGUUCACACUGUGACGGUAUCUUACCAGAAAGGGACGGCUAACUACGUGCCAGCAGCCGCGGUAAUACGUAGGUCCCGAGCGUUGUCCGGAUUUAUUGGGCGUAAAGCGAGCGCAGGCGGUUAGAUAAGUCUGAAGUUAAAGGCUGUGGCUUAACCAUAGUAGGCUUUGGAAACUGUUUAACUUGAGUGCAAGAGGGGAGAGUGGAAUUCCAUGUGUAGCGGUGAAAUGCGUAGAUAUAUGGA